This 589-nucleotide long non-coding RNA is filed under the name Salvia miltiorrhiza (redroot sage). RNAcentral describes it as "long non-coding RNA (SMIL_LNC005967)". Lineage: Eukaryota; Viridiplantae; Streptophyta; Magnoliopsida; Lamiales; Lamiaceae. The record is from RNAcentral.
AUGCAUCACACAAAUCCAUCUUACAAGAAUUUUGGUUACAAACUACAUACACAAUUCAGCAAUCAAUUUUCAUAAUCCUCAACAAAAUCCAAAGCAAGUUACAAUCCUUAAGCUCUGUCAUUUACCUGAAAAUUGAUGGAUGAACAACCUCAAACACUAUAACUAGUAUUUCAAAAUUAAAAUACUAUAACAUAAACACAUCAAAAUUUAAAUUAAUCAUGCCUAUUAUGACAUGAAUAUUGAUUUGGUUAGUCUGUGAAAAAAGAGAGUGAGUAGAGAAGAAACAUUAUGACAUGAUAUAUAUAUAUUGCAAAGUAGUAAGACUAACCUUAGGGAAGUUGCACAGCCACUUGAGCUCAAAAAGAAGAAUCGACGAUGAGUUCAAAGGAAAACUCGCCUUUUAAUUGAUUGGUACAAACAUCAGCUAAAGGAUUGCAGUCGACUAAUUCAAUGGUCUUGAUCCAAGACAGAUCAUCUGACAAAUCGAGUUGUUGCAAUUUGUAGCAGUGCUUCAUGAUAAGUAUACGAAGCCUCGGGAGGCUUCCAUGUUGAGGUCUCCAUUGCAUCAAAUCGGUGUCCUCAAUUUCAA